This 254-nucleotide ribosomal RNA is filed under the name uncultured bacterium. RNAcentral describes it as "partial 16S ribosomal RNA". It matches the Rfam family "Bacterial small subunit ribosomal RNA", at positions 524 to 776 of the family's 1533-position model. The record is from RNAcentral.
UACGUAGGGUGCGAGCGUUAAUCGGAAUUACUGGGCGUAAAGCGUGCGCAGGCGGUUAUUUAAGUCAGGUGUGAAAGCCCUAAGCUUAACCUAAAAAUUGCGCUUGAGACUGGAUAGCUUGGAGUGCGGCAGAGGGAGGUGGAAUUCCACGUGUAGCAGUGAAAUGCGUAGAGAUGUGGAGGAACACCGAUGGCGAAGGCAGCCUCCUGGGCCAGCACUGACGCUCAUGCACGAAAGCGUGGAAAGCAAACAGG